AGCAUAUCAAUAAGCGCAGGAAAAGAAACCAACAGGGAUUGCCUCAGUAACGGCGAGUGAAGCGGCAACAGCUCAAAUUUGAAAUCUGGCCUCUUGGGGUCCGAGUUGUAAUUUGUAGAGGAUGUUUCGGGUACCGCCUCGGUUUAAAUUUCUUGGAACAGAAUGUCAAAGAGGGUGAGAAUCCCGUCUUGGACCGGCGGUAGGGCCUAUGUGAAACUCCUUCGACGAGUCGAGUUGUUUGGGAAUGCAGCUCAAAAUGGGUGGUAAAUUUCAUCUAAAGCUAAAUAUUGGCCAGAGACCGAUAGCGCACAAGUAGAGUGAUCGAAAGAUGAAAAGCACUUUGAAAAGAGAGUUAAACAGUAUGUGAAAUUGUUGAAAGGGAAGCGCUUGCAACCAGACUUGAGCGCGGCGGUUCCCCCUUGCUUCUGCUUGGGUUACUCCGCCGUGUCCAGGCCAACAUCGGUUCUGGGGGUCGGUCAAAGGCUCUGGGAAUGUAUCUACCCACGGGUAGACUUAUAGACCAGGGUGUCAUGCGACCUCCCGGGACCGAGGAACGCGCUUCGGCUCGGAUGUUGGCGUAAUGGUUGUCAGCGACCCGUCUUGAAACACGGACCAAGGAGUCUAACAUCUAUGCGAGUGUUUGGGUGUCAAACCCGGAACGCGGAAUGAAAGUGAACGGAGGUAGGAAGCUUCGGCUGCACUAUCGACCGAUCCUGAAGUUUACGGAUGGAUUUGAGUAAGAGCAUAGCUGUUGGGACCCGAAAGAUGGUGAACUAUGCCUGAAUAGGGUGAAGCCAGAGGAAACUCUGGUGGAGGCUCGCAGCGGUUCUGACGUGCAAAUCGAUCGUCAAAUUUGGGUAUAGGGGCGAAAGACUAAUCGAACCAUCUGGUAGCUGGUUCCUGCCGA
Molecule: ribosomal RNA, 907 nt
Filed under: Fonsecaea pedrosoi
Lineage: Eukaryota; Fungi; Ascomycota; Eurotiomycetes; Chaetothyriales; Herpotrichiellaceae
Description: LSU rRNA
Rfam family: Eukaryotic large subunit ribosomal RNA
Source: RNAcentral